AUUGAACGCUGGCGGCAGGCCUAACACAUGCAAGUCGAACGGUAACAGGAAGCAGCUUGCUGCUUUGCUGACGAGUGGCGGACGGGUGAGUAAUGUCUGGGAAACUGCCUGAUGGAGGGGGAUAACUACUGGAAACGGUAGCUAAUACCGCAUAACGUCGCAAGACCAAAGAGGGGGACCUUCGGGCCUCUUGCCAUCGGAUGUGCCCAGAUGGGAUUAGCUAGUAGGUGGGUAACGGCUCACCUAGGCGACGAUCCCUAGCUGGUCUGAGAGGAUGACCAGCCACACUGGAACUGAGACACGGUCCAGACUCCUACGGGAGGCAGCAGUGGGGAAUAUUGCACAAUGGGCGCAAGCCUGAUGCAGCCAUGCCGCGUGUAUGAAGAAGGCCUUCGGGUUGUAAAGUACUUUCAGCGGGGAGGAAGGGAGUAAAGUUAAUACCUUUGCUCAUUGACGUUACCCGCAGAAGAAGCACCGGCUAACUCCGUG
RNAcentral lists this ribosomal RNA (489 nucleotides) under uncultured bacterium. Its description in RNAcentral is "partial 16S ribosomal RNA". It matches the Rfam family "Bacterial small subunit ribosomal RNA", at positions 30 to 507 of the family's 1533-position model. The record is from RNAcentral.